Long non-coding RNA from Lutra lutra (Eurasian river otter), 2754 nucleotides. RefSeq lists it as uncharacterized. The record is from RefSeq and is a predicted model, not a curated record. The transcript has 6 exons. NCBI's taxonomy places the organism in Eukaryota, Metazoa, Chordata, Mammalia, Carnivora, Mustelidae.
CAUUCCAGGACCCCGAACCCGUACGCCACACUUCCGAUUGUCCCUGCGCGCGGUGCUCGUGCAUAUCCGGUGUCCCCGACGAAAUGCGACACUUCCGGUCCCCAGCGAGUUGAGUGCGCAGGGUGGGUUCCUGUGGCGGGAGUCAGGCUCCGUUCUGGUCGCGAAAUCCGCGGUCACCACAGAGGAUCGCAGCUGUACCCUCAAGUCUUCUUCAUUUCCCAUUCCUGAAGUCCAGAAAGAUAAGACAAAUCAGGUUGCUGAACAUUCUAGUGUGACUUACAAGAUAAAAACAUUCCACUGCACCUGAUUACAUAAAGAUCUCCACUGGCCAGAGAGCCACGGGUCCUAGUCUCACCCUCCUUCGGUAGCCAUGGAUGAGCCAAAUGGGAAGGUCAAGUCACUGCUCAAGGUCACACAGUUGGCCUUCAGAAAGGUUCACAAGUCUUGGGAAAAGCCAUCUGGGAUGUGAAUUUCAGGGCACAUUGGUGGGAAGAAGCAGCUGGGAAGAGUGAAACCACUUCUAGCUCCUCCUCCACCCUCCGUGAGUUUGCCUUUGUUUUCUUAAGCUCUUCAUCUGUAAAUGAGGUUGGAAAGCCCCAAGGAGAGAAAGCCUGCAGGCAGAAGGAACAGCCUGGCUUGGAGACGUGGGGUGUGGUCUGACCAGGCGGUGGCAACUCAAAACUUAUCCGACAAGCUAUUUCAUCUGUCUGAAUCUCCCUGUCCUUUUCUGAAAGCAGGUAUUGAGUUUUAUUCAUUCAACAAACAUUUGUUGCACUCCUAUUUUGCGGACUUUGUAGAAGGGCUAAGGUUAUAAUGAUAAAACAGGCAUAGUCCAAUUUUUAAUAAAACUAUACAACCCAUUGGGGAGAUAGACAUUAGACCAGGAAGGACAGAAAAAUACACACACACACACACGUAUACACAAAUUGUGGCCAAGUGCUAUGAGAAAGAAUAACACAUUGGACUCUUCGCAAUUUAGACUAGUGGUUCCCAAAUAGGGGCGAUUUUGCCUUUCCAGGGGACGUUUGGCAAUUUCUGGAGACAUUUCUGGUUGGCGGGUGGGUGUGGAACUACUGGCAUCUAGCAGGCAGAAGCUCGCAACGCUGAUAAACAUCCUACAUGUACCUGGCAGUCCCCUAUAAAAAGAAUUAUUGGCCCCAAAUAUCAGUAGUGCUGAGGUUGAGACAUUCAGACGGAGACGGAGGUCAGCCAAGUUCUCCCUGAGGAGCUCUCAUUUGGGGCGAGAGGAUCUACCUUGCAGGGGUGCUUGGAGCCCUGGAGAUCAUGGCUGUGCAAGGCCCAGAGGACCACCUGGUACACUGAGAACCCUAAGACAGGGCACAAGCACCGUGGCUAAGGCCGGGAUCUGGAGUCAGUCUUCCUGCAUUGCAAAUCCUGCCUCCCACUUACUUAACUGAGUGACCUGGCAUAAGUCCCUCAGCACCUCUGACCUUCGUUUCCUUGUCCAUCCAGUGGUGCCAACAUACCUAGUGUCCUACCUCCCGGGACUGCCAUGAAGAUCGGGUGAGAUAACAGGAGUUAAAGGCUGUACUGACCUACAUACAGUACAGUUAUUGACCUACAAUACAGUUAUUGUUCAACACAAACUUGUUAUUCAGCAUACCGUAGUUACACUUACCAGUAACCCAAAGGCUACUUCUAGGAUCACAUUCAGGAUAAAAAGUCAAAUGGCAGGGUUUUGGGGGAGACAACACAGGCCAGAGCUUUCUCUGACGGUCCCCUCCCUAGCAGUGCCACCUGUUCUUUGGCAGGCUGUCUUCUGGCAUGUUCCCGCUCCUCUUUGGGCAUCUACUUGCUCAUCUGUAAAUGAGCAUCAUUCCUACCCGCAAAGAGUGACCAUGAAGAUCUAUAGCACAUGAGGGGAUUAAGAAGCAGCUACCCCGGCCCACAUGGGCGUGGACUCACCCCACUCUUGUUCUUGCUGCUCACGGAGAGCCCCAGCGUCGGGCCCCCUGCCAGGGACUGCUGCAGUCGCUCCUUUACAGCCACAAGCCGCAGCUCCAGGUCAAUCCGGCGCUCCUCCUUUGCCCGACACUGAGCUUCCAGGGCAGCCACGGCCUCCUCCAGAGCCUUUAACUUUGUACCUGGAUUAUUCCGGAUGGCUUCCUUCAUCUCCCUCUUCUCCUGCCUCAGUGCCAUCAGCUCUGUCCGGAUUGUCUCCUUCUCUUUUUCCAGCUUCUCUUUUUCUACCAGGUACCUCCGGGCGUCUUCCUCAGCUCGGUUCUUGCCGUAUUUGUAUUGAUUGGCACCUGCAGAGAUAAAAGGCAGGCAAAGGCCCCCCCACUUCUGAUCUCUCGUAAAGCUCUUGUAGGGACUGCAGUGGCCCCUGGUGACACAUGCAAAGAUCAAUUCCUGUGACAAGUACCCUGCAGUUGGAGCCUGAUCACAAACAAAGCAUGGAGGGCACAGAAGGGGACCCAUAGUUCCCCCAACCUCCCAGGUACACAGUGGCAUCCCAGGGGAAUUUUCUCCCAGAUGUUUGGAUUUUAUAGCCUGGUAAGCUAAAAAUAAAUGCAUAAAGCAGCAAAGUGUUGUCAGUGUUACGUUGUAUCAGAUAAGGACUUUAAAACCCCCAACCACCAUCUGUCAUUUCCAGUAUUUUAUAUCUCUUUUAUAUAUCAUCAGUAUAACAUUUCAUUUGAGGAAAGAAUACGUUUUGUGAUAUUUGUUGUUGUUGUUGGAAUGUUUUAUGAUUUCUUUAAUCUUACAUGGUUAUUUCAGUUUACUUUUCCA